CGCUUCCAUAAACACGCCAAACUCUACACUCCACUCGACAAUGGACUAGACCCCAUUGUUUGCCUUGGAAUUCUCGGCCUGCCAACUGGCACAAGUGUCCCCAUUGAUAAUUGAAAUUUUUCCAUUAAUCAAAGCGCCAGUUAUCCAUCACCCGGUGAUUAGAGCAUCUGGUACUCGGUGUCGCAUCUCGACUAAUAAUCGAAAGUGACUGGAGAUACGCAUCAAGGAAAGAUGAAGGGCGAUACAAUCAGUUAUCAAGAAGCUGUUUUGAAGCUACUGUAUAAUCCGAAUUUAUCUUUACGGCUGGCUUAUUUAGAUUAAAAGUCGGAACGGAAGUUUACCAACUAAUUUUAGAUAACCCUUGAAUUGUGCAAUUUUUACAGUGAAAAGUUAUAAAAUAAAUAUGAAUCCCAACCAUAAAAUAAACACCAGAUAAAUUUGUAUUUUUAUAAUUUUUUUAUUUAAUUUUAAAGUUUUUACAUGAUUUUUAAAAAUUGUAUUUUAAAAGCAUUGCAUUAUGUCAUAUAAAGUAAGAUGUAUCAUUACAUUAUACAAUUGUUUGUUUCUCAUUUGUUUUGUGUGUUUAACCAUAAGUUAAAUUUAUGUUUAAGCAUUUUCAUAAUUCAAUAGCAGUAAAUUGUUUUUAGAGACCAUGGCUAUAUAUGUAUCAUAUAUAUAUAUAAAGUGUAUAUAAGUAUUAUGUAUUUUUAUGUGUAUGUGUGUGUAUCAUGUAUGUGCAUUUGGAUAUAAACACAAUUAAAACUAAAAUUUUGAAUCGUUACCCCGUCUAGGGGAUAAACAGGGGACAGAAUGGAAAUUAUAUCGAAUAAAAUAAAAUUAAAA
Drosophila ananassae is the source of this 843-nucleotide long non-coding RNA. RefSeq lists it as uncharacterized. The transcript has 2 exons. The record is from RefSeq and is a predicted model, not a curated record. Lineage: Eukaryota; Metazoa; Arthropoda; Insecta; Diptera; Drosophilidae.